AACCUACCCUUAGGCGGGGGACAACUCAGGGAAACUUGAGCUAAUACCGCAUAAAUCCACGGGCUGGGAUGCUUGUGGGGAAAGUGGCAACACACCUAAGGAUGGGCCUGCGGCCUAUCAGGUAGUUGGUGGGGUAAGAGCCCACCAAGCCGAAGACGGGUAGCCGGGCUGAGAGGUUGAACGGCCACACUGGAACUGAGACACGGUCCAGACUCCUACGGGAGGCAGCAGUGGGGAAUCUUGCGCAAUGGGGGAAACCCUGACGCAGCGACGCCGCGUGGAGGAUGAAGGUCUUCGGGUUGUAAACUCCUUUUCUUGGGGAAAAUGAUGAUGGUACCUAAGGAAUAAGCCACGGCUAACUCUGUGCCAGCAGCCGCGGUAAGACAGAGGUGGCGAGCGUUGUUCGGAAUUACUGGGCUUAAAGGGCGAGUAGGCGGUGGAGCAAGUCUGAGGUGGAAUCCUAUGGCUUAACCAUAGAACUGCCUUGGAUACUGUUUCACUUGAGUCAGUGAGGGGAGGGCAGAAUUCCCGGUGUAGCGGUGAAAUGCGUAGAUAUCGGGAGGAAGGCCAGUGGCGAAAGGCGGCCCUCUGGCGCUGAAC
Molecule: ribosomal RNA, 600 nt
Filed under: uncultured bacterium
Lineage: Bacteria
Description: bacterial SSU rRNA
Rfam family: Bacterial small subunit ribosomal RNA
Source: RNAcentral